GGAUCCAGAGAACCGAACCGGAAAAAGGUUUUUGGUUUGGUUCUAGAUAACAAAACGAAUCUCAGUCAGACUAUCCGUAGAUAUCGGGUAGAUAUGGAGAUACAGUGUCUGUCCUCUCUCUGAUUUUUUCUGUAUUUUUCUAUUUUUUAAUUUUUUAAUUGUUGGGUAAGAGUUCCACGAUGGAAGGUGAAGUGAGUCAACGAUGAAAAGAUUGCUGCCGCCGGAGCUUCUCGUCCUUCGUCGUCGACCCGGUUAAGUGAGGUAGUGUGCGCUUUGAUUUCGUUCUCAAUCAUGGCUGCUAAUAAAACGCAAGGUUGGAG
This 320-nucleotide long non-coding RNA is filed under the name Capsella rubella. RNAcentral describes it as "long non-coding RNA (CRUB_LNC000937)". The record is from RNAcentral. Lineage: Eukaryota; Viridiplantae; Streptophyta; Magnoliopsida; Brassicales; Brassicaceae.